CCUACGGGAGGCAGCAGUGAGGAAUAUUGGUCAAUGGACGAGAGUCUGAACCAGCCAAGUAGCGUGAAGGAUGACUGCCCUAUGGGUUGUAAACUUCUUUUAUAAAGGAAUAAAACGAGGCACGUGUGCCUUUUUGCAUGUACUUUAUGAGUAAGGAUCGGCUAACUCCGUGCCAGCAGCCGCGGUAAUACGGAGGAUCCGAUCGUUAUCCGGAUUUAUUGGGUUUAAAGGGAGCGUAGAUGGGUUGUUAAGUCAGUUGUGAAAGUUUGCGGCUCAACCGUAAAAUUGCAAUUGAUACUGGCAGUCUUGAGUACAGUUGAGGUAGGCGGAAUUCGUGGUGUAGCAGUGAAAUGCUUAGAUAUCACGAAGAACCCCGAUUGCGAAGGCAGCUUACUAAACUGUGACUGACAUUGAUGCUCGAAAGUGUGGGUAUCAAACAGGAUUAGAUACCCCUGUAGUC
This 460-nucleotide ribosomal RNA is filed under the name uncultured bacterium. Its description in RNAcentral is "partial 16S ribosomal RNA". It matches the Rfam family "Bacterial small subunit ribosomal RNA", at positions 338 to 795 of the family's 1533-position model. The record is from RNAcentral.